UAGGGAAUCUUCCACAAUGGACGCAAGUCUGAUGGAGCAACGCCGCGUGAGUGAAGAAGGCUUUCGGGUCGUAAAACUCUGUUAUUGAAGAAGAACGUGUGUGACAGUAACUGGUCAUGCAGUGACGGUAUUCAAUCAGAAAGUCACGGCUAACUACGUGCCAGCAGCCGCGGUAAUACGUAGGUGGCAAGCGUUGUCCGGAUUUAUUGGGCGUAAAGCGAGUGCAGGCGGUCUUUUAAGUCUGAUGUGAAAGCCUUCGGCUUAACCGAGAAGGGCAUCGGAAACUGG
Molecule: ribosomal RNA, 288 nt
Filed under: uncultured bacterium
Lineage: Bacteria
Description: partial 16S ribosomal RNA
Rfam family: Bacterial small subunit ribosomal RNA
Source: RNAcentral